Molecule: long non-coding RNA, 306 nt
Filed under: Dromaius novaehollandiae (emu)
Lineage: Eukaryota; Metazoa; Chordata; Aves; Casuariiformes; Dromaiidae
Description: lncRNA (ENSDNVG00000006981.1)
Source: RNAcentral
AUGGGGAGUAGACAGAUAUCUGCCACUCAAGCUAAUGAAGUAGGUUUGGUAGAAAACCAGCGAGUUGCCUUCCUCUGUACAGACUGUACAGACUUAGUUUUUGAGGGAGAAGGUCUUGGCGCAACUGAAAGGACGUGUCAUCAUUCUCCUUGCCAGCAGCCCAGGGAAAAGAUUUACAAGAAAAAGAAACCAGGUAUCUACAAGUGCAAUAUGUUACAGACAGUAAUAACCUUCAAAGGAAAAGCAAGGAAUAAGACUGCUUUAAAGGAAAUGAUCCUCUGCAAUUUCUUCUACAUUUCUUUUUAA